This 911-nucleotide long non-coding RNA is filed under the name Marmota monax (woodchuck). The record is from RNAcentral. Lineage: Eukaryota; Metazoa; Chordata; Mammalia; Rodentia; Sciuridae.
UGGAAACAUUCAAUUCCCUGCUGACUGCUGGGUGGAGGCUGCCCUUGAGUCCUUGACACAUGAAUGUCGCCAAGAUGACCAGCUUCAUCAAAGCCAUCAAGGGGGUGAAUCUGCUGGCAAAUGCACAUCAUUGUCGUCUGUAAUGUAGUCGUACCCAAUCUCUUGGCCAUGUGCUGUUGGUGAGAAGUAAAUCCCAGGUCCUACUCGUACUCAACAAGGAAAGUAUUUACCAGGACAUGAGUGCCACCGGGGACCUUCUUGAAGCCUGUUCACCACACUCCUCGGCUCCUUCAUUUGGCCUCCAAAUUGAAUAAGUACAUUGUGGGAGGAUUGUUUCCUGCCAAGACUGGGUUUUGUUUUAAUUCUAACAUCGGGGUCCCUGCAGGAAUCGGGGCACACUUGUUUAGUUAAUUGGAGCACAAAGUGACAAGUGUUGGAGAGAAGUGCUCUUAGAGGUUUGGUUUAUAAAUGCGCUCAGCUACUCGGGAGGCUGAGGCUGGAGGACAGCGAUUCAAGGCCAGCCUCAGCAACUUGGACCCUACCUCCAAAAUGUCAGUCAAGGCACAGGUAACCCUGCCAUCUACUUAGUGUACAGUGAUUCUCAGUCCUGGGUGUUCAACAAGAAUGUCUUUAUAUUUGCAGUGGAUGAUUCUUUUUUUUUCCUAAAUUAAAGCCAAAUUUUUAUUUCAAAUCUUCCUUUUAUGGAUUCCCCAGUUCUUGGGAACAACAAACUAGGAACAAAAUAGUCCAAGUUCGUUCAUUCAAUGAACAUUCUACCAUCUUGUUAUGGUGGGUACCCAGGUGCAUGCUGGGGACACUUGGAGAUGACAAUCACUGGUUCCUCUGAGUCUGAAUCUGAACCUCAGCUGCUCCCUUCCCACCUCCUGGGCCCCUAUGGUCCUAUUCCUUUC